This 27-nucleotide ribosomal RNA is filed under the name Fusarium oxysporum. RNAcentral describes it as "partial 28S ribosomal RNA". Lineage: Eukaryota; Fungi; Ascomycota; Sordariomycetes; Hypocreales; Nectriaceae. The record is from RNAcentral.
GACCUCGGAUCAGGUAGGAACCCGCGC